RNAcentral lists this ribosomal RNA (402 nucleotides) under Pseudomonas syringae pv. syringae. RNAcentral describes it as "bacterial LSU rRNA". It matches the Rfam family "Bacterial large subunit ribosomal RNA", at positions 1119 to 1420 of the family's 2925-position model. Lineage: Bacteria; Pseudomonadati; Pseudomonadota; Gammaproteobacteria; Pseudomonadales; Pseudomonadaceae. The record is from RNAcentral.
CCCUUUAAAGAAAGCGUAAUAGCUCACUAGUCGAGUCGGCCUGCGCGGAAGAUGUAACGGGGCUCAAACCAUGCACCGAAGCUACGGGUAUCAUCUUUUGAUGAUGCGGUAGAGGAGCGUUCUGUAAGCCUGUGAAGGUGAGUUGAGAAGCUUGCUGGAGGUAUCAGAAGUGCGAAUGCUGACAUGAGUAACGACAAUUGAUGAUGCGGUAGAGGAGCGUUCUGUAAGCCUGUGAAGGUGAGUUGAGAAGCUUGCUGGAGGUAUCAGAAGUGCGAAUGCUGACAUGAGUAACGACAAUGGGUGUGAAAAACACCCACGCCGAAAGACCAAGGUUUCCUGCGCAACGUUAAUCGACGCAGGGUUAGUCGGUCCCUAAGGCGAGGCUGAAAAGCGUAGUCGAUG